UGGGGAAUAUUGGACAAUGGGGGAAACCCUGAUCCAGCAAUGCCGCGUGAGUGAAGAAGGCCUUAGGGUUGUAAAGCUCUUUCGCCCGCUAAGAUAAUGACGGUAGCGGGAGAGGAAGCCCCGGCUAACUCCGUGCCAGCAGCCGCGGUAAUACGGAGGGGGCUAGCGUUGUUCGGAAUUACUGGGCGUAAAGCGUACGUAGGCGGAUGCGCAAGUUGGGGGUGAAAUCCCGGGGCUUAACCUCGGAAUUGCCCUCAAAACUGCACGUCUUGAGACCGAGAGAGGUAAGGGGAAUUCCUAGUGUAGAGGUGAAAUUCGUAGAUAUUAGGAAGAACACCAGUGGCGAAGGCGCCUUACCGGCUCGGUACUGACGCUGAGGUACGAAAGCGUGGGGAGCAAACA
This 402-nucleotide ribosomal RNA is filed under the name uncultured bacterium. Its description in RNAcentral is "bacterial SSU rRNA". It matches the Rfam family "Bacterial small subunit ribosomal RNA", at positions 355 to 774 of the family's 1533-position model. The record is from RNAcentral.